RNAcentral lists this ribosomal RNA (483 nucleotides) under uncultured bacterium. RNAcentral describes it as "partial 16S ribosomal RNA". It matches the Rfam family "Bacterial small subunit ribosomal RNA", at positions 30 to 506 of the family's 1533-position model. The record is from RNAcentral.
AUUGAACGCUGGCGGCAGGCCUAACACAUGCAAGUCGAGCGGAUGAAGGGAGCUUGCUCCUGGAUUCAGCGGCGGACGGGUGAGUAAUGCCUAGGAAUCUGCCUGGUAGUGGGGGAUAACGUCCGGAAACGGGCGCUAAUACCGCAUACGUCCUGAGGGAGAAAGUGGGGGAUCUUCGGACCUCACGCUAUCAGAUGAGCCUAGGUCGGAUUAGCUAGUUGGUGGGGUAAAGGCCUACCAAGGCGACGAUCCGUAACUGGUCUGAGAGGAUGAUCAGUCACACUGGAACUGAGACACGGUCCAGACUCCUACGGGAGGCAGCAGUGGGGAAUAUUGGACAAUGGGCGAAAGCCUGAUCCAGCCAUGCCGCGUGUGUGAAGAAGGUCUUCGGAUUGUAAAGCACUUUAAGUUGGGAGGAAGGGCAGUAAGUUAAGACCUUGCUGUUUUGACGUUACCGACAGAAUAAGCACCGGCUAACUUCGU